Molecule: ribosomal RNA, 467 nt
Filed under: marine sediment bacterium ISA-7305
Lineage: Bacteria
Description: bacterial SSU rRNA
Rfam family: Bacterial small subunit ribosomal RNA
Source: RNAcentral
UGCUUAACACAUGCAAGUCGAACGAUGUAACUACCAGCUUGCUGGUGGGAUUAGAUGGUCGCAACGGGUUGACUAACACGUGAGUAACCUGCCCUGGACUCUGGGCAUAACCCCGGAGUAAAUCGGAGCUAAUACCGGAUAGGACCUUUCCUCGCAUGAGGUUUGGUGGAAAGUUUUUCGGUCUGGGAUGGACUCGCGGCCUAUCAGCUUGUUGGUGAGGUAAUGGCUCACCAAGGCGUCGACGGGUAGCCGGCCUGAGAGGGUGACCGGCCACACUGGGACUGAUACACGGCCCACACUCCUACGGGAGGCAGCAGUGGGGAAUAUUGCACAAUGGGCGCAAGCCUGAUGCAGCAACGCCGCGUGCGGGAUGACGGCCUUCGGGUUGUAAACCGCUUUUAGUAGGGAAGAAGGGCUUCGGCUUGACUGUACCUGCAGAAAAAGGACCGGCUAACUACGUGCCAUCA